UUGAAGAGUUUGAUCAUGGCUCAGAUUGAACGCUGGCGGCAGGCUUAACACAUGCAAGUCGAGCGGAAACGAUUCUAGCUUGCUAGAAGGCGUCGAGCGGCGGACGGGUGAGUAAUGCAUGGGAAUCUGCCCGAUAGUGGGGGACAACCUGGGGAAACUCAGGCUAAUACCGCAUACGUCCUACGGGAGAAAGCAGGGGAUCUUCGGACCUUGCGCUAUCGGAUGAGCCCAUGUCGGAUUAGCUUGUUGGUGAGGUAACGGCUCACCAAGGCGACGAUCCGUAGCUGGUCUGAGAGGAUGAUCAGCCACAUCGGGACUGAGACACGGCCCGAACUCCUACGGGAGGCAGCAGUGGGGAAUAUUGGACAAUGGGCGAAAGCCUGAUCCAGCCAUGCCGCGUGUGUGAAGAAGGCCUUAGGGUUGUAAAGCACUUUCAGCGAGGAAGAACGCUUCGGGAUUAAUACUCCCGAGGAAAGACAUCACUCGCAGAAGAAGCACCGGCUAACUCCGUGCCAGCAGCCGCGGUAAUACG
RNAcentral lists this ribosomal RNA (532 nucleotides) under Paraphysomonas bandaiensis. RNAcentral's name for it is "partial Bacterial small subunit ribosomal RNA". It matches the Rfam family "Bacterial small subunit ribosomal RNA", at positions 1 to 527 of the family's 1533-position model. Lineage: Eukaryota; Chrysophyceae; Chromulinales; Paraphysomonadaceae. The record is from RNAcentral.